UCAAAAUGUAGUUUAAAAUAAAACAUUCCGCUUACACCGGAAAAAAUCUGACGAACCAGAACAUUUUGA
This 69-nucleotide transfer RNA is filed under the name Ichthyophis sp. MZBAmp 12959. RNAcentral describes it as "tRNA-Val". It matches the Rfam family "tRNA". From Rfam's summary of the family: Transfer RNA (tRNA) molecules are approximately 80 nucleotides in length. Their secondary structure includes four short double-helical elements and three loops (D, anti-codon, and T loops). The record is from RNAcentral. Lineage: Eukaryota; Metazoa; Chordata; Amphibia; Gymnophiona; Ichthyophiidae.